GACGAACGCUGGCGGCGUGCUUAACACAUGCCAGUCGAACGGAAAGGCCCUUCGGGGUACUCGAGUGGCGAACGGGUGAGUAACACGUGGGUGAUCUGCCCUGCACUUUGGGAUAAGCCUGGGAAACUGGGUCUAGUACCGAAUAGGACCACGCGCUUCAUGGUGUGUGGUGGAAAGCUUUUGCGGUGUGGGAUGGGCCCGCGGCCUAUCAGCUUGUUGGUGGGGUAAUGGCCUACCAAGGCGACGACGGGUAGCCGGCCUGAGAGGGUGACCGGCCACACUGGGACUGAGAUACGGCCCAGACUCCUACGGGAGGCAGCAGUGGGGAAUAUUGCACAAUGGGCGCAAGCCUGAUGCAGCGACGCCGCGUGAGGGAUGACGGCCUUCGGGUUGUAAACCUCUUUCAAUAGGGACGAAGCGCAAGUGACGGUACCUAUAGAAGAAGCACCGGCCAACUACGUG
RNAcentral lists this ribosomal RNA (462 nucleotides) under uncultured bacterium. Its description in RNAcentral is "partial 16S ribosomal RNA". It matches the Rfam family "Bacterial small subunit ribosomal RNA", at positions 28 to 507 of the family's 1533-position model. The record is from RNAcentral.